CGCUGAAACACCGGUUCUAGUACGAUCACCGAAGUUAAGCAUCGUAGAGCCAGGUCAGUACUUAGAUGGGGGACCGCUUGGGAACACCUGGUACUGUAAG
Molecule: ribosomal RNA, 100 nt
Filed under: Acanthosepion pharaonis
Lineage: Eukaryota; Metazoa; Mollusca; Cephalopoda; Sepiida; Sepiidae
Source: RNAcentral